AGCGAACGCUGGCGGCAGGCCUAACACAUGCAAGUCGAACGAACUCUUCGGAGUUAGUGGCGGACGGGUGAGUAACCCGUGGGAACGUGCCUUUAGGUUCGGAAUAACUCAGGGAAACUUGUGCUAAUACCGAAUGUGCCCUUCGGGGGAAAGAUUUAUCGCCUUUAGAGCGGCCCGCGUCUGAUUAGCUAGUUGGUGAGGUAAAGGCUCACCAAGGCGACGAUCAGUAGCUGGUCUGAGAGGAUGAUCAGCCACAUUGGGACUGAGACACGGCCCAAACUCCUACGGGAGGCAGCAGUGGGGAAUCUUGCGCAAUGGGCGAAAGCCUGACGCAGCCAUGCCGCGUGAAUGAUGAAGGUCUUAGGAUUGUAAAAUUCUUUCACCGGGGACGAUAAUGACGGUACCCGGAGAAGAAGCCCCGGCUAACUUCGUG
Molecule: ribosomal RNA, 433 nt
Filed under: uncultured bacterium
Lineage: Bacteria
Description: partial 16S ribosomal RNA
Rfam family: Bacterial small subunit ribosomal RNA
Source: RNAcentral